UUCUUAGUGAAAUUGGACCAGUCUAAGCAACCAGACAGUGCAGUUCAGGAAACCAGGCUGAAGAACGUGAAGUAUAUCGCCCAAAGUCAGACACGAAGGAACAACUGCUUUGGAGCUAGCACAUUCCUGAGCUGGAAUUGCACCACUGGUCAAUGGGACUGCAGAAUCCAAACUGCUUUCUACCGGAACAACUCCUUCCCUGCAGGAAGCAGGGUGCUCAUGGCUGAACCAUGGUCUGAGAAGGUUGAUGAAGUCACUGACUCAGCCCCAGCAAGGAAGUUGUCCUUCGACUUCUGACCUCUGGCCAUGUUUGAAAACCAACUCAAAUCGUCUUUCUUUUUCAGGUAAAGAUAAAAUGAUGCCAUGAAUUUCUAUUUUCUUUUAUUCAGGGCACAACUAGGCUAAUAUUGAACAAACUUCAAGGAAAUGAAAGACACAAGGGGUUUGAGAAACUGAAUGUAGAGCCUGCCUCUUGGAAAAUGAUCCGUUCCCAGACCUGAGUCAUUAGGGCAGGUGCACGGAGCACCUGCACACUGGGCUAUUGCCCAGAGGUUCUCCAGCUAGGGGGACUGGAAGACCCCAAACUGGUGGUGUCACCCAGGCCAAAGCUGGCCUCUCGGUCUUAUUUUUUUUUAUGUUUUAUUUUUUGAGAUGGGGUCUCACUCUGUCUCCCAGGCUGGAGUGCAAUGGCAUGAUCAUGGCUCACUGCAGACUUGACUUCCCCAGGUCAAGUGAUCAUCGCACCUCAGCCUCCUGAGUAGCUGGGACUACAGGUACACAGCACCACACCCAGCUAAUUUUUUUUGUAUUUUUUGUAGAGGCAGUAUUUUGCCAUGUUACUCAAGCUGGUCUUGAACUCCUGGGCUCAAGCAAUCCACUUGCUUCGGCAUCUCAAAGUGUUAGGAUUACAGGCGUGAGCCGCCAUGCCCGGCCCCUGUCUUAUUUGAUUAGAGAAAGAAGCAGCACAGAGCGAAGAGAGGCAGGCUGUUUAGAUGCUCAUCAAAUGAGCCCUACAGGUGCUUUUUAACACUCUUCCUUGUAAUUUCGCAGAGACAGGGAGCAGACUACUGGGAACUGACUAGGUAUUAUAUAACUAACUUAGAUAACUCUUCAUCUUCUUUUAAAACUCAGAAACACCUGUUAUACUGCUUUUAAAGUCAGUCUUACUAGGUUACCUCACAGGAGUUUGAGAAAUAGUUUUCUCUUGAUUACUUCUUUUUUGCUCACAAUGUUACACACCUGUCAAGCAUGUGGCAACAAUGUUUGUUCAAAUCUCUCUGGAGUUACAAUUCACACUGAUGGUGAUAUGGUCUGAAUUUGUAUCCCCGCCCAAAUCUCAGUGAAAUUGGAGGAGGGGCUUCGUGGGAGGUGAUUGGAUCAUGGGGGUGGAUUUCUCCCUUGCUGUAAUAGUGAGUGCGUUAUCAAGAGAUCUGAGGGUUUAAAAGUGUGUGGAGCUUCCGCUUUUCUCUCUCUCUCCCGUGAAGAAGCUGCUUGCCUCUGCUUUACCUUCCACCAUGAUUAUAAGUUUCCUGAGGCCUCCCAGUCAUGCUUCCUGUUAAAACUGUGGAACUGUGAGUCAAUUAAAUCCCUUUUCUUCAUAAAUCACCCAAGCUCAGGUAGUUCUUUAUAGCAGUGUGAGAAUGGACUAAUAUAGACGCUUAGUUUAUUGGUUCUCAAACUUCAGUGUGUGUCUUAAAACACGGAUUGCUGGGUUCCAUCUCCAGAGUUUCUGAUUUUUAAAGUCUGAGGUGGGCCCUAAAUUUUGCAGUUUAAACAAGUUUGCUGGGGGAUGAUGAUGCUGCUGUUUCAGCGACCAUACCUGGGAGUUACUACCUUAGUUACUGUAAGAUUGUUCAGCUCAAGAUAGAAGUAUUGUUGUUUGUCCCUAUCGUGCCUUCCCCUUAGCUGGUAGGAAAAGGUGGUAAUUAAGAGGGCAGGCUCUGAAAACAGACAGAACUGUGUUUGAAUUCUUCCUCCAACCCUUCAACUACUGUGAUCUUGGCUACAUUUGUUUAAAUUCUCAGAACAUCAGUUUUCAGGCCUAAAGAAUAGAAAUAGUCGCAUCUAGUUCAUAGGGCUGUGUGUCAUGAGACAACACAUAUAAUUGGCCUAGCAUCUAUUGUAUACUAUGUUGACAUCUAGUAUGUAUACAAUAAGUGGUAGUUACUUCUUUUCUUUUCUUUUUUUUUUUUAAGACAGAGUCUCGCUCUGUCUCCCAGGCUGGAGUGCAGUGGCGCGAUCUCAGCUCACUGCAACCUCCACCUCCCGGGUUCACGCCAUUCUCCUGCCUCAGCCUCCCGAGUAGCUGGGACUACAGGUGCCCGCCACCACGCCUGGCUAAUUUUUUUGUAUUUUUAGUAGAGAUGGAGUUUCACCAUGUUAGCCAGGGUGGUCUCGAUCUCCUGACCUCAUGAUCCGCCCGCCUUGCCUGCCAGAGUGCUGGGAUGACAGGUGUGAGCCACCGCACUCAGCCAGUGGUAGUUAUUUCUAAGAGUUCUUGCAUAUCUUUGAAGUAGCUUUUUAGGUUUAUUAAAAAAUAGACCAAAAUUAAAAUAAUUAAAUGUAAGGCAUGGUUACUUUUAAAUA
Long non-coding RNA from Macaca mulatta (Rhesus monkey), 2586 nucleotides. The record is from Ensembl. NCBI's taxonomy places the organism in Eukaryota, Metazoa, Chordata, Mammalia, Primates, Cercopithecidae.